GUGCAUCGAACUGCUGACGCUCUAUCUGCUUCAUUUUUUCCUCCCCAAGUGAAUAUUUCCUUGUGGGUUCGUAAGGUAUCCUGUGUUGCUUACCAAUGGAAUGGUAAUUCGAUGGCUUUGUUGCGUUCAUCCGCCUUGUUCCCAAACGGGUGCGAGGUGGACAAGAGGUGAGCCUUGUGUUCCCAGCAUGCUAACUGUUCUUGCAUUUGGCUGUUGCGGCCCAUGAGGUGUUCACCCGUUCUCUUGGAUGCGGAAUUCAACGUGUGGGCGUGCGAGGUCUUGACCUUGACUCGCCAAAACACAAUUUUCACUCGAAUGACAGCUACACCUGUCUUGAUCCUUCCGACCGAGGCCUCACAAUGGGGCUUACCGGACGAGGGGGGAGCAUGCGGGCGUCAGCGUCAAAGAGGAAAGC
RNAcentral lists this unclassified non-coding RNA (415 nucleotides) under Boronia wilsonii. RNAcentral describes it as "partial external transcribed spacer". Lineage: Eukaryota; Viridiplantae; Streptophyta; Magnoliopsida; Sapindales; Rutaceae. The record is from RNAcentral.